This is a long non-coding RNA of Cimex lectularius (bed bug), 386 nucleotides long. RefSeq lists it as uncharacterized. The transcript has 2 exons. NCBI's taxonomy places the organism in Eukaryota, Metazoa, Arthropoda, Insecta, Hemiptera, Cimicidae. The record is from RefSeq and is a predicted model, not a curated record.
AUAUGGUUUAAAUUACAUAAAAGCACAUGAAUUAAUUCCAUUGAAAAUAUUUUAUCCAAAAUUAUGAAGAACUGGGUUUAUUAGAAUCUUAAGCUGCUUAUUACUGAGGGACUCACUAUGAUUUGCGUUCCUGCUACCUUCUCGUAUAUCAAUGCAUGCUCGAAAUUUCUCCAUGGAAGUGGCCUAAGGAUUUUUGUUCAAUAACACAACAAACACAUAUGCCAUGGGAAAUGAUGGACUGUUAUUUUUGCAUGGCACUGUAGAAUGGCAAAGGGAUGCUUGUUUGAAUUUAGUUGCUGAAAUCUAUGCUACAGUAAUACAAAAAAGAUAUAAUGUGAAUCACAUUUAUUCAUAAAAUACUUCAAAUAUAUUAACAUAUGAUCAUA